GGGAUCAUAGCUCAGCUGGGAGAGCGUUCGCUUGACGUGCGAAAGGUCAUGGGUUCGAGCCCCUUUGGUCCCA
Molecule: transfer RNA, 73 nt
Filed under: Lachnospiraceae bacterium
Lineage: Bacteria; Bacillati; Bacillota; Clostridia; Lachnospirales; Lachnospiraceae
Description: tRNA-Val
Rfam family: tRNA
About the family: Transfer RNA (tRNA) molecules are approximately 80 nucleotides in length. Their secondary structure includes four short double-helical elements and three loops (D, anti-codon, and T loops).
Source: RNAcentral